Molecule: ribosomal RNA, 633 nt
Filed under: Thysanophora penicillioides
Lineage: Eukaryota; Fungi; Ascomycota; Eurotiomycetes; Eurotiales; Aspergillaceae
Description: eukaryotic LSU rRNA
Rfam family: Eukaryotic large subunit ribosomal RNA
Source: RNAcentral
UGACCUCGGAUCAGGUAGGGAUACCCGCUGAACUUAAGCAUAUCAAUAAGCGGAGGAAAAGAAACCAACAGGGAUUGCCUCAGUAACGGCGAGUGAAGCGGCAAGAGCUCAAAUUUGAAAGCUGGGCCUUUCAGGUCCCGCAUUGUAAUUUGCAGAGGAUGCUUCGGGAGUGGUCCCCAUCUAAGUGCUCUGGAACGGGCCGUCAUAGAGGGUGAGAAUCCCGUAUGGGAUGGGGUGUCCACGCCCGUGUGAAGCUCCUUCGACGAGUCGAGUUGUUUGGGAAUGCAGCUCUAAAUGGGUGGUAAAUUUCAUCUAAAGCUAAAUAUUGACCGGAGACCGAUAGCGCACAAGUAGAGUGAUCGAAAGAUGAAAAGCACUUUGAAAAGAGAGUUAAAAAGCACGUGAAAUUGUUGAAAGGGAAGCGCUUGCGACCAGACUCGCCUCUAGGGUUCAGCGUGCAUUCGUGCACGUGUACUUCCCUUGGGGCGGGCCAGCGUCGGUUUGAGCGGCCGGUAAAAGGCUCUCGGAAUGUAACGCCUCUCGGGGCGUCUUAUAGCCGGGGGUGCCAUGCGGCCAGCUCAGACCGAGGAACGCGCUUCGGCUCGGACGCUGGCAUAAUGGUCGUAAACGACC